This 75-nucleotide antisense RNA is filed under the name Streptomyces variegatus. Its description in RNAcentral is "ASpks sRNA". It matches the Rfam family "ASpks TB sRNA". The record is from RNAcentral. Lineage: Bacteria; Bacillati; Actinomycetota; Actinomycetes; Kitasatosporales; Streptomycetaceae.
CUUGACGGAGCCCAGCCACAGCGGCUGCCCGUCCCGCCGCUGCCCGCCGUAGGUGGCGAGCAGGGCCUGCGCCUC